RNAcentral lists this long non-coding RNA (491 nucleotides) under Anas platyrhynchos platyrhynchos (common mallard). RNAcentral's name for it is "lncRNA (ENSAPLG00000017653.1)". Lineage: Eukaryota; Metazoa; Chordata; Aves; Anseriformes; Anatidae. The record is from RNAcentral.
UGAGACUUUUCUAUAAGCUAGAGUCCUUCUUUAAUAGACUUUCACUUAGCAGUUUGACAUAAUAAAUUCCUUCCCAUUGCAGAGAUCAAGGACAUGGUGUUCUAAAUGCUCUCUUUCUGUACCUUAAGUGCUUUUGAUGGUUUCUGAUACUUUGUACUAUAGUUUAGACACACUUUAUAUAUUGAUUUUUGUUUAGGUUGCCCUGUGUGAAACCAGGAGUUGGACUCGAUCCUCAUGGGACCCUUCCAGCUCAGGACAUUCUAAGAUUCUAUGAUUCUAGGACAAGAUAUGGCCUCUGUCCACAGCUUUCUCUGAAAUUUCUUCCAGAUGUGAAACUCCCAAUAUGCACGUCAAGCUCAAAACAGGAAUCUACAUGGAAAUGUUAUAAAUAUUAAUAAAUGGCCAUUACAAGAUUUCGUCAACUGACCUUACUGCAAGGAGCAAUCCAGUAAGCCAUUGAAAGGAAGGGCAGUCCUACUGCAACAGCGAGA